AGCUAGGUGUUGAUAGGGAGUGGUGUACCAGCUAGGUGUUGAUAGGGAGUGGUGUAAUAGCUAGGUGUUGAUAGGGAGUGGUGUAACAGAUAGGUGUUGAUAGGGAGUGGUGUAAUAGAUAGGUGUUGAUAGGGAGUGGUGUAAUAGAUAGGUGUUGAUAGGGAGUGGUGUAAUAGCUAGGUGUUGAUAGGGAGUGGUGUAAUAGCUAGGUGUUGAUAGGGAGUGGAGUAAUAGCUAGGUGUUGAUAGGGAGUGGUGUAACAGAUAGGUGUUGAUAGGGAGUGGUGUAAUAGCUAGGUGUUGAUAGGGAGUGGUGUAACAGAUAGGUGUUGAUAGGGAGUGGUGUAAUAGCUAGGUGUUGAUAGGGAGUGGUGUAAUAGCUAGGUGUUGAUAGGGAGUGGUGUAAUAGCUAGGUGUU
Oncorhynchus tshawytscha (Chinook salmon) is the source of this 417-nucleotide long non-coding RNA. Lineage: Eukaryota; Metazoa; Chordata; Actinopteri; Salmoniformes; Salmonidae. The record is from Ensembl.